This 711-nucleotide ribosomal RNA is filed under the name uncultured marine alveolate. Its description in RNAcentral is "bacterial SSU rRNA". It matches the Rfam family "Eukaryotic small subunit ribosomal RNA", at positions 618 to 1334 of the family's 1831-position model. The record is from RNAcentral.
GUUAAAAAGCUCGUAGUUGGGUGUCUGCCAGCGAGAAGCGGUCCACUCUAUGAGUGAGUAUCUGUUCUUCAGCUAGCAUAUAUGUGUGCUCUCACUCAGUGCUUGAUUGCACUGGUUUGAGUCUGCAGCUGUUACUUUGAGGAAAUUAGAGUGUUCUCGGCAGGUUGAAGCUUUGGAUACAUUAGCAUAAGAUAAUAUCAUAGGACUCCAGUUCUAUUUUGUUGGUUUCCGGAAUCGGGGUGGUGGCAAAUAGGGACAGCUGGGGGCAUCUGUAUUAUCGCGUCAGAGGUGGAAUUCUUGGAUUGCGUUACGACAAUCAACUGCGAAAGCAUUUGCCAAGGAUGUUUUCAUUGAUCAAGAGCGAAAGUAUAGGGAUCGAAGAUGAUUAGAUACCGUCGUAGUCUAUACUUUAAACUAUGCCAACUAGGGACUGGGGGAAGUUGCUUUAUGACUCCCUCGGGAUCUUUCGAGAAAUUAAAGUUUUUGGGUUCCGGGGGGAGUAUGGUCGCAAGGCUGAAACUUAAAGGAAUUGACGGAAGGGCACCACCAGGAGUGGAGCCUGCGGCUUAAUUUGACUCAACACGGGGAAUCUCACCAGGUCCAGACAUAGUAAGGAUUGACAGAUUGACAGCUUUUUCUUGAUUCUAUGGGUGGUGGUGCAUGGCCGUUCUUAGUUGGUGGAGUGAUUUGUCUGGUUAAUUCCGUUAACGA